AAACAGUGAGGUCAACCGAACUCGCGGUUCCAGCUCAGUACUGCACCUGGCCAUGGCCAGGUCUACCAGUGCCUACCCAGCCAAAUCCAAUCAACCCAAAAAAUGCACAACUACCUAACAUUCAAAAUUUAGCAUCAGGCUCUUAAUUCCAAUUUUUUCAGUUUUAACCACUCUCCUUAGCCUAAAGCACAAAUGCGUAAUCGGGUGCGAAGCUCCAUUUUCUCUCUUCAUUGCUUGCAUCGAUUACGAAUCUCAAGCAUUUCAUCACUUGAUUUCCGCUUUAUGCCUUAUUUCUGAAGUUGCAUAAUCUGUGUUGCAAUGAAGUUGGGAGCCACUUAGUGAUAAAGAAAAUAAGACUGCCCUUCAGAAUUCGAAUUGUACAGUUACAUGGACUUGUGAACUGGAAAAAAAAUUAUGGGUCUGGCUUCUGUUAAAACUGUAAUUGAGGACAUGCAAAUUUGUAUAUUUGAUUUGAGAAGAGGGCAAGAAGAAGGGCGGGAGCUGGACAAGAUCUUGUUCUUCUUUCCAGCUGAUUCACCCUCCUCAAAACAGCUUUCUGUUAUAGGGCUUGGUGAAGGACUCAUCGCAUUUACCAGAAUUUUCUCUCCAGAAGCAGCUUGUGAGGUCAUAGAAGCUGAGAGGCACUCUCAUGUUUUUUAUGAGGCAGAGCCUGAUAUCUGGAUGGUGAUGAUGGUAGAGAAAAGUGUGGAGUCGGAAGCCACAUGGCGGAUUGAUGCAUUGAGAGAGGUACUUCAGGAAGUUCACUCUCUUUUCAUGAUGUUUCAUGGUUCUAUAAGAGCAAUGCUUGAGAAUGAACCUACUGGAGGACUAGUUCGCUCUCAUUUGUACCCUUUCAUCAUGGAUUAUCUAAGUGGUAAGAUAUUAUUUGAUUGUAUACUGACUAGAAUUAUGCUAAUUUAGUUGUGUCUUUACUUCCAAAUUUCAUUGCGAGUCACUAAUUAUCAGCAUUUCAAAAGCGGUCUCCAUUGGAUUUGGAACACUGCUGCUGGGGUAAUGCUGAAGUUGCUGUAUCAAAUGACCUCCAUUGGAUUUGAGCAUCCAAAGUAUUGCUGAAGUUGCUGUAUCUUGUAGUACCUUACGUGUAACUUUUAUCUUUGGGACAGAUUUUCUUGUUGGGAAAAAACUCCACUUACCAUCAUUUCGUGACUGUUUAACGGAGCGUGGAACUGUUCAGAUGUUGACUGUUGGGAGAGAAGCUGCAAUUGAAGUUCAGGUUUGCCUUUAGAAAAAAAUUUUGAGUGAUCCUAUAUAUUUGAAUUUUGAAAUGCCAAAGCUCAUUGACAUUUUGCCAGAAUAAGCUAUUUAAACCUGUCCUAAAAUUUUCUUAUUACUUUUUCCCCCUAUGAAAGUGUGCUUAGCACCUAUGUGGGAUCUAACCUGCAAUCUGACCCUUCACACAUGUUGUGGGAAGGAAAGCAGCCAUUUGGCUCCAAGGCCAUUUGCAGGAUUACUCUUUAAACUUCUAAAAAAAUAUAUAUGGUUUGGUCCUUUGCCACUUGGUGUUGGGAUUUCUUGUAUUUAGAUGUAUAAUGUCAGACUGAUAAUAGCUAAGCCUGAACAAGUCUUUUUCUGUCCACAUGAGGGUAUGCUGGAGUAAUGGGCAAUUCAAUCUGUAGUUCAUGUUAUUGGUUAAUACAAUGUUUUCAAUAUGUCAAUUUUAGUUUUUAAUGCAUUGUCCUUAUUUGUUGUUGUUGUUAUUAUCAUUUUGUUGGGGAGUGGUGCCCAGGAUGUUUAAAUUAACAUGCUUGAUAGUCAUUAAACCAUUUAUAUGUCUCUUGCGUGUCUACAAAUCAAUCAAUAGCAAAAAUAAGUAAAUAAACAUACCUCACUAGCAGAAUAGCAAAAAUAAGUAAAUAAACAUACCUCACUAGCAGCCUUCAAUUUUAUAAUAGAUGAUAAUCUGUUUCCCCAUUGUAUUUUCGCAUAUAAUGCCAUCUAUUACACACUUCUUCCUUUUCCCAGUUUUUAGUGUCAAAUACUGUGAUAGUGCUAUUGUCCAUGCUAUAUGUACUGUUUUCUAUUUCAAUCUUCACUUAUUUAAUUAUCUAUGUAGACUGCCAUUUUUUUUUCUAGUGAUUAAGAGGGGCACACCACACUGGACCAUUUCUCGGUUGAAGCUUCCUGUUGUAUACCAUACAGAACACAGAAAUAUCAUGUUUGGCUUGUGAGUAGAAGGGUUGUUCAAUGUUAAUGAUACCAUGUUAUUUUGGCAGUCACUUGUCAGGGUACUAGAGUCUUGUGCUGGGGCCACACCUUGCCAUUCACUGAUUUUCUUUCAGGACCUGCUUGUCUCCACAACAGUUUCUCCUGAUGACACCAUAAAUUUAUUUACAUAUGCGGUUCUGAGGUUGACUCCUCGUGCUUUAUCCUCUGGGGCAAGUUCAUGGUCAUACUUACGCAAAGGAAGCACUGCAUCUCAUGUUGCUGCAGGGUCUACACUGGCCCAAUCUGCUUCUGUUUCAGAACAUUUAUAUCGCUCACAUGAUAACUCUCCUGGUCGGGAUGACAGUUACCAUGUUAAGAGACCCUUACAGCAUGACAAGUGGGCUAAAGGGAAGGAUGGUUUUCUUGUCACUGAUAUUUGGGGUGCAGAGAUUGGUAGCUCUGUUACAGUUAGCCCAACAAUUUGGCUUCGUCAGACUGAGGAAAGAGUGUAUCUCUGCGCUUAUCAGUAUAAAGGUCUGACCUUAAUCCUUCUGAUUCCUGUUUCCUCCAUUCUUAAUGGGGAGCAAGGAGUUUCCCUGGUGAAGCAGCAAGUUCUUGAAAAUGUAAGUCCCUUCCUGUGACAAUUGCUAAUUAUUCCUUACACAAUUCAGCCAGUAAAAAAUAAACUCUACCAGUCUCUACUCGUUCUGUUGUAUGUGCAAAGAUUUGCAGCAUGAAUAGCCAAAUGAUAGCUUUGACAUGCAACAGAUGAGGUCAUCUCAUCAGUUGUGCUUGAUUGUCUGAUAUCUGAACGUCAGAAUGAUAUUGCAUAGUGCACAAUGUUGAAGCAUUUUUUACCAAGCAUUACUUGAAUAGCCCAUGCUGGAAUAAUUUUAUCUGGUAGUACAAGAGAAAGGUCAAGCUAUAUGGAAAUUCUGCUUUACGCUCUUAUUAUACCUUCAAUUGAUUUUCACAUGUUGAAAGUUUAUCCAUCUUUUAUUUGGUUCUCAUUUUCUUUUGUGAUGUACUAGGCAUCCCUUAAGAUGUUGAAAGUUGAAGAGAAACUAUCAAAAGGAUGGGGUGGUGAGAAUGCUUAUCACGUUAGUGGGUAUCGUUACUUGCUAGUCGAUGAUGAUCGAAAUAUAUCUAGGGCUUCUCCGCCAGUGAAGGUUGCAACCCUUACAAAGGUAUAAACCCCUUCAAUCUUGCUUAAUGAAUACAUAAUUGUCUGGCUUAACAUGGGCUGGAUGUGACCUGGCUCAACUGAAUUUGAUAAUAUACCUUUUUUCUUGUAAUGAGGCAAAAAUAUGUAUUAUGGUUACAGCUUACAUCUAGAAUUGUUAUUAAGAAUCAAUUUACAAUAUUUAGCUCAUGUAAUAUGCCCGUAUAUCAUUCUCUGUGAAGUUUAUCUUGGUUAACUUUGAAGUCUGGUCUGUCAAUCAAGCAUCAGCCUUGCACAGGUCAAAUGAAAAUCACAGGACUCGGCAACAUUGUCUAGAAUGUUAAUACUGGGUUUUCCAUUGAGAACCCUAUCUGGUCAGUUGAAGAGUUUGCCAUCAUAUUGCAGGAAUCUUUACUUGCCAUGAAUAAGCUUAGAGAAGAGGUAGAUUUGGAAAAGAGUAGAGCAAAAAGGAAUGGUGUAGAUCAAGAGAAAGAUUUGGAAAUAUGCAUUAGAGCAAAAAACAAUGCCUGGGUUAUUGCUCACACUAUGAGAGGCAAGGAGCUUUAUAUGGUUCUAGAAAAAGCCAAUGAAACACUUCUUUAUGCCUCUGAUGCUGUUGAGAAGUUCAGCAACGGGUAUUGUGGUGGCACCUUUUCAUUGGAUUAGGAAUCGUACGUUCAUAUUUGUAAGCAUAUAAUCCAGAGUAGGGAAACUGUAAUCGUCUCCUGCAUUACUGGGACGCGUAUGUUCGGCAAAUGAACUUCUGUUUCUUCCUUCAAUCACUUCCCACGUGUUUGCGUGGGGAGGCCCUUUAGAUUUUUGUAAAACAGAAAAUCUGCACUAUUAAUUAUAUGUACAAGGCAAUGACUAAUCCGAACAUUUUGAGAGAUUUGGGUUAUACUUUGGCACAUUUGUGAAGUCUGGUGCUUAAUCCUCUGCAAGGUUGUAAAGGACUACUAGCGACUAAAUUCGUGUGGGGAGAACAGCAUCAGUCAAGUUAAGAUGUCGAGAAUCAAAAUUGAAGAAAAUAAGGGUAAAAUCCUAGAGGGGGAUAAGAUUUUUCGCCCUCUCCUCAACUUCUUGUACAAACUAUCUCAAAUCAUAAAGAAUGUGUUUGAAAAGGUUUAAGAAUGAAA
Molecule: unclassified non-coding RNA, 4464 nt
Filed under: Hevea brasiliensis (rubber tree)
Lineage: Eukaryota; Viridiplantae; Streptophyta; Magnoliopsida; Malpighiales; Euphorbiaceae
Source: RNAcentral